UACAGAGGGUGCAAGCGUUGUUCGGAAUUAUUGGGCGUAAAGCGCGCGUAGGCGGCUGUCUAAGUCGGGUGUGAAAGCCCCGGGCUCAACCUGGGAACUGCAUUCGAUACUGGACGGCUAGAGUAUGAGAGAGGGAGGUAGAAUUCCACGUGUAGCGGUGAAAUGCGUAGAUAUGUGGAGGAAUACCGGUGGCGAAGGCGGCCUCCUGGUUCAAUACUGACGCUGAGGUGCGAAAGCGUGGGGAGCAAACAGG
Molecule: ribosomal RNA, 253 nt
Filed under: uncultured bacterium
Lineage: Bacteria
Description: partial 16S ribosomal RNA
Rfam family: Bacterial small subunit ribosomal RNA
Source: RNAcentral